GACGAACGCUGGCGGCGUGCCUAAUACAUGCAAGUCGAGCGGAUGACGGAGGAGCUUGCUCCUCCUGAUUCAGCGGCGGACGGGUGAGUAACACGUGGGCAACCUGCCCUGUAGAUUGGGAUAACUCCGGGAAACCGGGGCUAAUACCGAAUAAUCCUUCGGACCUCAUGGUCCGAUGUCGAAAGACGGUUUCGGCUGUCACUACAGGAUGGGCCCGCGGCGAAUUAGCUAGUUGGUGAGGGAACGGCUCACCAAGGCCACGAUGCGUAGCCGACCUGAGAGGGUGACCGGCCACACUGGGACUGAGACACGGCCCAGACUCCUACGGGAGGCAGCAGUAGGGAAUCUUCCACAAUGGACGAAAGUCUGAUGGAGCAACGCCGCGUGAGUGAAGAAGGUUCUCGGAUCGUAAAACUCUGUUGUGAGGGAAGAACAAGUACCGGAGUAACUGCCGGUGCCUUGACGGUACCUCAUUAGAAAGCCACGGCUAACUACGUGCCAGCAGCCGCGGUAA
This 514-nucleotide ribosomal RNA is filed under the name uncultured bacterium. RNAcentral describes it as "partial 16S ribosomal RNA". It matches the Rfam family "Bacterial small subunit ribosomal RNA", at positions 28 to 523 of the family's 1533-position model. The record is from RNAcentral.